RNAcentral lists this long non-coding RNA (281 nucleotides) under Elaeis guineensis (African oil palm). RNAcentral's name for it is "long non-coding RNA (EGUI_LNC078341)". The record is from RNAcentral. Lineage: Eukaryota; Viridiplantae; Streptophyta; Magnoliopsida; Arecales; Arecaceae.
UGGCCUAGAAGUUGAAAUAAUAUUUUUAGAUUUGAAUGAUACUUUUGUUUGUUUACCUAGUUGACAUGCAUCACAAAUUCUAUCCUUUUCAAAAUUUAAUUUAGGUAAACUGGUAACCAAUUCUUUUUUAAUAAGUUUUGAAAGUGAAUGCAUGCUAAUACGUGCAAGCCUAUGGUGCCACAGCCAACUAGUCUCAUUAAUUUUGGCAUUCAAGACUACUAGGCAUUGUAUAUUUAUCUUGAAAAGAUCAUUCAAAUCUACCAUAUAAAUAUUACCAUGUC